Molecule: long non-coding RNA, 1833 nt
Organism: Harpia harpyja (harpy eagle)
Lineage: Eukaryota; Metazoa; Chordata; Aves; Accipitriformes; Accipitridae
Exons: 8
Source: RefSeq, a predicted model, not a curated record
CCGGGGGACGAGGCUUCCCGCCUCCGACUGCCAGCCGCAAGUGUUCUUCCGCGCCGCCUGCCCGGAGGUGUCAUGGUCAUUGUUACUUGGAGGCAUUGACUAGGCACUUAUUUCCAGCACAGUACAGGCACCCAGGGGCCACGCCGCAUUCAAGGAACAGCGUAAAGGUAUGUGUGUCAACCGGCAGCAGAGGAAGGAAGCACCUUUUUGGAGUCCAAGGUGAUGAAGCAGAGUCUGUUUGAUUUUCAUUAUGAGCGGACCCCUCGUCAUGGGGGGCGGGGCUUGGACAUGUAAACAUGGCCCUGGAUGGGGGAACUGUCUGUUAAGUUCAAGGCUGUGAGGCCUAUCAUAGACACCACCGGACAAGCAUUAGAACCUGGUGCCCAGAUCGGACCAACCUGGCAGAACUAUCCUGCCAUCUGAAGUAAUGCAUAGUUCUGUACCGAGUUUUUAAUAGCUUGGUCACCUUCAGCUUUUCCUCAUCGAGCUUGUAUUUUGGCAAGAGGUGGCUCUCAACAAGCAUUUGGGUCUGAGGGGUCUCCAUUAGAUUUUUGGUGCCAGUCUCCAUUGGAUUUCGUGACCAUCGAGUCAUAUUCAGCAUCUGUCUGCAGUCAGGUCUCCUGUAACUCCUAUGCAGUUGUGGCUUAAGACUUUUUAGCACAGUGUUAUCCAAUAAUAGCGUUCUGUAUGUGAGAGGCUUCUGGCAGCCCAGCCUUUUGUCCCAUUUAUGUUGGCACUCUCGUUCCAGAAUGCAGUCUACCAAGCGGUUCUCCUUGCUGCAGUUCAUGGAGUCAUUUAGGAGUUAUCUAUCCAUAAAGGAAAAGUCUGUCAUUACACCAGCCACAGAUGCUAGCUACCCAUACCUGUUUUGGCAUUUGCAGGCCUGAGUGUUUCAGCUCUGUCUGUCACCCCGCCCGUGAUAUUUGAGUCAUCUGGCGGUAACUCUCAUUUUUGUGUGUUGGUGAGUGGUUUGACUUAUUCUUGCAGUUUAAGUAAUAGGUCUAGGCUAAGCAAGAUGGAUGAGCAAGGUGCGACAGCAAAGGUGAGCAGAUGGUGCCAAGGGGGGUGAGGUCGACAGCUUGGGUUUUGUGCUUUUGGGGUCUCUCUGUGUUGCCUGAGUAUGUAAGUCGGUCAGUGGGAUUUGUUAGUCUGUUUUGCUUGGCAGGCUCUCUAUGUCAGAAACCUGUGUGCCUCUGCAUUUUCCCAAGGUGAGCCUGGCAUCAAAGGUUCUGGUUUCUGGGACAUUGGAGAUGGACUGACGAUAUGAGCAGGUGCCUGACAUGAAGACUGACCCCAGAGGCAUGGCAUGGGAGGUGGGCAGAAAGGGUGCCACGGGUGAUGCCAGCUGCAACAUCUGGUGUUAGACUGGGAGUGGAGCAGGUGAGCAGAAUGCCACUGCGCUUCCAAAGAGGCCAUCGUUGCAUAAGAGGUCAGCGUUGACUGGUGUGAAACUCGCUGAUGGCACUCCAUUUGCAGGUCUUAGAGACAGGCUUCUGGUGCAUCCAUCAUCCCAGUUGGGGCCAUAACUUUUCGUCAUGGACCAAGGCAUUUGACUUUUCCAAGGCCAUUGUAGAUUCUUCCUCAGGGCCCUUGUGCCGCACAGAGCUGUGGAGGGGCGAAGCUGCAUGCUGACAAGCAGUCCGAGAAGAUGCUGUGCAGGCUAUCUUCAGAAUUGGAUGGGCAUUUGAGUACCACAAGUGAUGAUGGCUGUACCGUCUGACUCUGGAAUUGGUGCGGAGCAGGUGAGCAGAAUGCCAUGGUGCUUUUGAGGGGGAGGGUGUUGUGGAAGAGGUUGGUGUUGGCUGAUGUGAUGGUAACUGCUGGCACUGGUGU